UUGCAAAAAGAAUGAACCAAUUUGAAGCAUUACAUCAAAAGUUAUGCCAUUUUGAAUUUCCAUGCACACUUUGUGAUCAAAUGACCAUAACUUCUCAACCAUUCAUCAUAUGGACAUGAAUUAGGACUUUUUGGAAAGGGGAGACAAAAAUCUACAACUUUCACGUUCACCAAAAAUCCAUUUGAAACUUAUUUGACAUUGACAAGUCAAGUUGAAAGUGGACCAAAACUUGCCAAAUUUGGAAACUUUGAAUUAUAGGUCAUUUUCCAUUUUUAGUAACUUUUGCCAUGACCUUUGAAUCUUCAAGAUGGAUGUUUAGAAUGAUGAAUAGACCCCAUUUGAACAUGAUUGAGGUGUCUCAACUCAUUUCCCCACCUCAUAGCCCUCAGUUGACUGCACAAUUGACUUUUGGUCCUCAGAUGACCUUGAAAUGUCUUGAUUAACUUGAGCC
RNAcentral lists this long non-coding RNA (451 nucleotides) under Lathyrus oleraceus (garden pea). Its description in RNAcentral is "Pisum sativum (pea) long non-coding RNA (PSAT_LNC034015)". The record is from RNAcentral. Lineage: Eukaryota; Viridiplantae; Streptophyta; Magnoliopsida; Fabales; Fabaceae.